UUUAACUGAGCGUUCAGUUACUUGACGUAGACCCGAAACCGGGCGACCUACCCAUGAGCAGGAUGAAGCGAAAGUAAAAUUUCGUGGAGGUCCGAACCCACGAGCGUUGAAAAGCUCGGGGAUGACUUGUGGGUAGCGGUGAAAUUCCAAUCGAGCCCGGAGAUAGCUGGUUCUCCCCGAAAUAGCUUUAGGGCUAGCCUCAAGGUGAGAGAUACGGAGGUAGAGCACUGAAUGUCCUAGGGGGUAUUGCACCUACCGAAGACUAUCAAACUCCGAAUGCCGUCAUCUUAUACUUGGGAGUCAGACUGUGGGUGAUAAGAUUCAUAGUCGAAAGGGAAACAGCCCAGAUCGUCAGCUAAGGUCCCUAAAUGUAAGUUAAGUGGUAAAGGAUGUGGGAUUGCACAGACAACCAGGAUGUUGGCUUAGAAGCAGCCACUCAUUCAAAGAGUGCGUAAUAGCUCACUGGUCGAGUGAUCCUGCGCCGAAGAUUUCCGGGGCUAAAACUUACUACCGAAGCUACGGCAUCAGUAAUGAUGGGUAGGGGAGCUUCCCAUACGGGUUGAAGCAUGACCGUAAGGACAUGUGGACAGUAUGGGAGUGAGAAUGUUGGCAUGAGUAGCGAGAUGUGGGUG
Molecule: ribosomal RNA, 632 nt
Filed under: Clostridioides difficile
Lineage: Bacteria; Bacillati; Bacillota; Clostridia; Peptostreptococcales; Peptostreptococcaceae
Description: bacterial LSU rRNA
Rfam family: Bacterial large subunit ribosomal RNA
Source: RNAcentral